AUUGCAUACUAAAAGAAAGCAGUGAACAGCGCACAUAUUGUCUUUUAACAUUCAAGAAGGAUGAGAUUUUACGUAUAUGAGAUACGUUGCUUAAUUACCUCGCGUUCUUCUAUAGUCACUCCUUCUACAUCCAUACUUUGAGCUUGUGUGUCUUCCUGAAAGGAGAAUAUGUUUUCAACUUUAAAACUGUAUAACUUUAGACGCUACCAUCAACAAAGUUGCUGACCUGAUUUAGAGUAUAGUAGAGAUCUGAAAACGUGUUGGGGUGGAUGGCUAAAACAGAUAUAAUCAUUGAAAGUUAGUAAAUCAAGAAACGCACUUGUAUUGAAAGGAUACGCGUACUUUUUCCACCCAAGAAAAUCGACAAAGCAACAGCAUCAUAACCUACUGCACUACAAUAUACUUACCCACAGGAUACCUCGGUACACCCUCAAAGAUAAGUUGCUUCCUAGAAGAUAUAAUUGCAUGGCAGGAAGACCAAUCUACUAACUUGGUGGGGAAAAUCCUCACGCUUUUUGAUGACAAUGCGAAAAAGUCGUCAAGACCCUUGAAUUGAAAUUGGAGAAGAUGUAAAGGAAAUGGGAAUUAAAUGUCAUGAUCUAUUGUUGUACAUACCUCAUAAAUUUGUCCAUUCGCUACAUACAUCAUACCACGAAGAUAAAGGUAGCACGCUUCGACAGAGGGACCUUUAACGUCUGAUUUCUUACAGCACGUAAUAAAAAUAAUUCACGCGUAACUAGUAAAUGUUUCACACGCGUAACUAUCAAAUGUUUCACACGUGUAACUAUCAAAUGUUUCACACGUGUAACUAUCAAAUGUUUCACACUUGUAACUAUCAAAUGUUUCACACGUGUAACUAUCAAAUGUUUCACACU
Molecule: long non-coding RNA, 875 nt
Organism: Xenia sp. Carnegie-2017
Lineage: Eukaryota; Metazoa; Cnidaria; Anthozoa; Malacalcyonacea; Xeniidae
Exons: 3
Source: RefSeq, a predicted model, not a curated record